This is a long non-coding RNA of Oncorhynchus keta (chum salmon), 1478 nucleotides long. RefSeq lists it as uncharacterized. NCBI's taxonomy places the organism in Eukaryota, Metazoa, Chordata, Actinopteri, Salmoniformes, Salmonidae. The transcript has 6 exons. The record is from RefSeq and is a predicted model, not a curated record.
UCUGUGGUUGAGGAGAGAGGAUGAAAGGAAUCAUCAAAUUGAGAUAGAGCUUACCUCAGUUUGGUUCAGGAGAGAAGAGCAGCACUGAUAGGUGCUAGUGGACUCCAGUAUGUAUUUGUCUGUCUGUCAGAGAGUAGGUAGGUGCUAGUGGACUCCAGUAUGUAUCUGUCUGUCUGUCAGAGAGUAGGUAGGUGCUAGUGGACUCCAGUAUGUAUCUGUCUGUCUGUCAGAGAGUAGGUAGGUGCUGGUGGACUCCAGUAUGUAUCUGUCUGUCUGUCAGAGAGUAGGUAGGUGCUAGUGGACUCCAGUAUGUAUCUGUCUGUCUGUCAGAGAGUAGGUAGGUGCUAGUGGACUCCAGUAUGUAUCUGUCUGUCUGUCAGAGAGUAGGUAGGUGCUAGUGGACUCCAGUAUUUAUCUGUCUGUCUGUCAGAGAGUAGGUAGGUGCUAGUGGACUCCAGUAUGUAUCUGUCUGUCUGUCAGAGAGUAGGUAGGUGCUGGUGGACUCCAGUAUGUAUCUGUCUGUCUGUCAGAGAGUAGGUAGGUGCUGGUGGACUCCAGUAUGUAUCUGUCUGUCUGUCAGAGAGUAGGUAGGUGCUAGUGGACUCCAGUAUGUAUCUGUCUGUCUGUCAGAGAGUAGGUAGGUGCUGGUGGACUCCAGUAUGUAUCUGUCUGUCUGUCAGAGAGUAGGUAGGUGCUAGUGGACUCCAGUAUGUAUCUGUCUGUCUGUCAGAGAGUAGGUAGGUGCUAGUGGACUCCAGUAUGUAUCUGUCUGUCUGUCAGAGAGUAGGUAGGUGCUAGUGGACUCCAGUAUGUAUCUGUCUGUCUGUCAGAGAGUAGGUAGGUGCUAGUGGACUCCAGUAUGUAUCUGUCUGUCUGUCAGAGAGUAGGUAGGUGCUAGUGGACUCCAGUAUGUAUCUGUCUGUCUCUCAGAGAGUAGGUAGGUGCUAGUGGACUCCAGUAUGUAUCUGUCUGUCUCUCAGAGAGUAGGUAGGUGCUAGUGGACUCCAGUAUGUAUCUGUCUGUCUCUCAGAGAGUAGGUAGGUGCUAGUGGACUCCAGUAUGUAUCUGUCUGUCUCUCAGAGAGUAGGUAGGUGCUAGUGGACUCCAGUAUGUAUCUGUCUGUCUGUCAGAGAGUAGGUAGGUGCUAGUGGACUCCAGUAUGUAUCUGUCUGUCUGUCAGAGAGUAGGUAGGUGCUGGUGGACUCCAGUAUGUAUCUGUCUGUCUGUCAGAGAGUAGGUAGGUGCUAGUGGACUCCAGUAUGUAUCUGUCUGUCUCUCAGAGAGUAGGUAGGUGCUAGUGGACUCCAGUAUGUAUCUGUCUGUCUGUCAGAGAGUAGGUAGGUGCUAGUGGACUCCAGUAUGUAUCUGUCUGUCUGUCAGAGAGUAGGUAGGUGCUAGUGGACUCCAGUAUGUAUCUGUCUGUCUCUCAGAGAGUAGGUAGGUGCUAGUGGACUCCAGUAUGUAUCUGUCUGUCUGUC